UACGAGGGGGCAAGCGUUGUUCGGAAUUAUUGGGCGUAAAGGGCGCGUAGGCGGUGCGGUAAGUCUUCUGUGAAAUCUCCGGGCUCAACUCGGAGCCUGCAGAGGAAACUGCCGUGCUGGAGUGUGGGAGAGGAGAGUGGAAUUCCCGGUGUAGCGGUGAAAUGCGUAGAUAUCGGGGAGGAACACCCGUGGCGAAAGCGGCUCUCUGGGACCACUACUG
This 220-nucleotide ribosomal RNA is filed under the name uncultured bacterium. RNAcentral's name for it is "partial 16S ribosomal RNA". It matches the Rfam family "Bacterial small subunit ribosomal RNA", at positions 524 to 742 of the family's 1533-position model. The record is from RNAcentral.